UACCAAAAACAUCGCCUUCUGAUACUCAUAGAAGGUCCAGCCUGCCCAGUGACUAAGUUAAACGGCCGCGGUACCCUAACCGUGCAAAGGUAGCGCAAUCACUUGUUCUUUAAAUGAGGACUAGUAUGAACGGCAUCACGAGGGUUACACUGUCUCCCUAUUCCAUUCAGUGAAACUGAUCUUCCCGUGAAGAAGCGGGAAUAUAAAUAUAAGACGAGAAGACCCCAUGGAGCUUUAAACUCAGUGUUAUCUGCCACUUCAAUACCCUCUUAAUUACGCAGACCAUGAUAACUAGUUUUCGGUUGGGGUGACCGCGGAGUAAAACAAAACCUCCACAACGAAAGGAACUAACAACCUAAUCCAAGAGCAACAUCUCUAAGAAUCAACAAAUUGACUUAAUUGAUCCAAUUACUUGAUCAACGAACCAAGUUACCCUGGGGAUAACAGCGCAAUCCAUUUCAAGAGCUCAUAUCGACAAAUGGGUUUACGACCUCGAUGUUGGAUCAGGGUAUCCCAGUGGCGCAGCAGCUACUAACGG
This 538-nucleotide ribosomal RNA is filed under the name Microhyla nilphamariensis. Its description in RNAcentral is "partial 16S ribosomal RNA". It matches the Rfam family "Bacterial large subunit ribosomal RNA", at positions 1805 to 2571 of the family's 2925-position model. Lineage: Eukaryota; Metazoa; Chordata; Amphibia; Anura; Microhylidae. The record is from RNAcentral.